UACGGUCAAAUCAUUUAAAAAAACACCGGUUCUCGUUCGAUCACCGAAGUUAAGCAUCGUAGAGCCAGGUCAGUACUUAGAUGGGGGACCGCUUGGGAACACCUGGUACUGUAAGC
Molecule: non-coding RNA, 116 nt
Organism: Acanthosepion pharaonis
Lineage: Eukaryota; Metazoa; Mollusca; Cephalopoda; Sepiida; Sepiidae
Source: the annotation of a GenBank genome assembly